GACGAACGCUGGCGGCGUGCUUAACACAUGCAAGUCGAACGGAAAGGCCCUGCUUGCAGGGUGCUCGAGUGGCGAACGGGUGAGUAACACGUGGGUGAUCUGCCCCUUACUUUGGGAUAAGCCUGGUAAACUGGGUCUAAUACUGGAUAGGACCAUGCUGUAGGUGGUGUGGUGGAAAGAUUAGUUUCGGUAAGGGAUGAGCUCGCGGCCUAUCAGCUUGUUGGUGGGGUAAUGGCCUACCAAGGCGUCGACGGGUAGCCGGCCUGAGAGGGUGGACGGCAACAUUGGGACUGCGAUACGGCGCAGACUCCUACGGGAGGCAGCAGUGGGGAAUAGUGCACAAUGGGCGCAAGCCGGAUGCAGCGACGCCGCGUGGGGGAUGACGGCCUUCGGGUUGUAAACUCCUUUCGGCCAUGACGAAGCCCUUGUGGUGACGGUAGUGGUAGAAGAAGCACCGGCUAACUACGUG
RNAcentral lists this ribosomal RNA (469 nucleotides) under uncultured bacterium. RNAcentral describes it as "partial 16S ribosomal RNA". It matches the Rfam family "Bacterial small subunit ribosomal RNA", at positions 28 to 507 of the family's 1533-position model. The record is from RNAcentral.